AUACGUAGGGUGCGAGCGUUAAUCGGAAUUACUGGGCGUAAAGCGUGCGCAGGCGGUGCUGUAAGACAGGCGUGAAAUCCCCGGGCUCAACCUGGGAAUUGCGCUUGUGACUGCAGCGCUGGAGUGCGGCAGAGGGGGAUGGAAUUCCGCGUGUAGCAGUGAAAUGCGUAGAUAUGCGGAGGAACACCGAUGGCGAAGGCAAUCCCCUGGGCCUGCACUGACGCUCAUGCACGAAAGCGUGGGGAGCAAACAGGAUUAGAUACCCUGGUAGUCCACGCCCUAAACGAUGUCAACUGGUUGUUGGGAAUUUAAUGUCUCAGUAACGAAGCUAACGCGUGAAGUUGACCGCCUGGGGAGUACGGCCGCAAGGUUGAA
Molecule: ribosomal RNA, 375 nt
Filed under: uncultured bacterium
Lineage: Bacteria
Description: bacterial SSU rRNA
Rfam family: Bacterial small subunit ribosomal RNA
Source: RNAcentral